AACAAUUGUUAAAAGCAUGAGAAAGUUCAAGUAGGUUGAUUGAAGUGCCCAGGAGGCUCUCGGUGAAGCACCAAAACACUGCUCCAGUUGCUCUGCACUCAAGUGCAUCAGUGGUUUGUUAGGACAGACGGAGGCUGUAUGAUGCCAGUGGAGGGUGCAUGAGGAGACGGUCCUCCAGUCCAAGUUUGACUGUGUGAUUGGAUCCUGUGAGAAUCCCAAUGAAGCAAUGAGUAUCUCAGCUGCAGCUUCACUCCCCAGGGCCCCAGCUCAGGCCGGCCCCACUCCUGUCUGUACAGGCCAAGAAGGCAGGACAGCACAGAGGCUGGGAAUGAAGAAGGGCUGCACUACAAAAGGAACCUGCGGAUGAUUUUAAAGAGGAGGAGGAGUCUUUAAAGAAGAGGAUUUGUGUUGUACAGCUGGCAUACAAAGCCCCAAAAAACCCACAAGCCUGGAUUUGCAAAGAUCGAGCAUUUCGGCAUCAAAAGAAGUGGUUGUGACGCGGCGUCACACUGACAGACAUACAAGACUCUGUGGAUGAUCCCCACAGCCCGGACUGAGAGGAAGAGAAGAGUCGAUUCAUCCAACCACUGUGCUAAGCAGGAAUUAUUUGACUUGAUGGCGGUCCAAGGCGAUCCCUCUUCUUUCUCUUGACAGGAACGCCUUGUUUUGGCAGCAUCCUGGACAAUGCGGGUCAGCAAAGCCAGUUGGGACAAAUUUGAAUGCAGCACCAUGAAGGCGCUGAGUGAACGCAGCAGCUUCUCCUGUUGGUCGAGGCGCUGCAGGAGCGCAGCCUGUUCCGAGUCUCGGCUCCGCCUCAGGGCCUUCAGCUGAUCCUUAGUCUGAUGAUGCUGCUUCCUCUGGUUCUGUUCUCU
Molecule: long non-coding RNA, 872 nt
Organism: Sphaeramia orbicularis (orbiculate cardinalfish)
Lineage: Eukaryota; Metazoa; Chordata; Actinopteri; Kurtiformes; Apogonidae
Exons: 6
Source: RefSeq, a predicted model, not a curated record